GUUGACCAAUCAUCUCUUUCUCUCUCUCUCUCUCUCUUCACAAUCCCAGUCGGCGUCUUCGCCACAAACCCUCACACACAGUAGCCCACAUCUCCCUCGCAAAAUUCCCAAUCUCUCUCGCUCACCUUCACAUAGAGAGAGGAUUUCUAGACAGAGAAAGAGAAGACACUCAUACAUAUAUAUAUAUAUAGAGAGAGAGAGAGAGAGAGAGUGAUGGAUUCAGAUCAAGGGAAGCUUUUUAUCGGAGGUAUCUCUUGGGAGACAACAGAGGAUGUGUUAAAGGACUAUUUUGGGAACUAUGGUGAGGUUUUUCAGACUGUGGUGAUGAGAGAUAAGCUCAGCGGAAAGCCGAGAGGGUUUGGGUUCGUGGUCUUCACAGAUCCUUCGAUCCUUGAUAGGGUUCUUCAGGACAAGCACGUUAUCGAUGGAAGAACGGUUGAGGCGAAGAGGGCCUUAUCAAGAGAGGAACAGCAGACCUCCAAAGCUGGAAACCCUAAUACUGGUAGAAAUGUAGGUGGUGGUGGAAAUUUCAGGACCAAGAAGAUAUUUGUUGGAGGAUUGCCUCCCACUCUGACUGAGGAUGGGUUUCGUCAGUAUUUUGAAGCCUAUGGUAGUGUCACUGAUGUAGUAGUGAUGUAUGAUCAGAGCACCAACCGACCUCGCGGAUUUGGAUUUAUUUCCUUUGAUACUGAAGAUGCAGUUGAUAGGGUUCUCCACAAGACCUUCCAUGAUUUGAAUGGUAAGCAAGUAGAAGUGAAGCGGGCUCUUCCUAAAGAUGCCAAUCCUGGUGGGGGUGGCCGUUCCAUGGGUGGUGGUACAGGAGGAGGUACUGGCAGUGGAGGUUAUCAGGGUUAUGGUGCUUCUGGUGGCAAUUCAAGUACGUAUGAUAAUCGGAUGGAUUCCAACAGGUACAUGCAGUCCCAAAGUACUGGUGGGAGGUUUCCACCUUAUGGUUCUUCUGGUUAUAGUGCACCUGGAUAUGGGUAUGGUCCUGCCAGUAAUGGCAUUGGUUAUGGUGCUUAUGGUGCUUAUGGUAGUGCCAAUCCUGGGUAUGGUGGCCCUGCUGGUGCAGCCUAUGGAAACCCAAAUGCCCCUAAUGCUGGUUAUGGAAGUGGUCCAUCAGGGGCACCAAGAAGUUCGUGGAGCACUCAGACUCCCUCUGGAUAUGGUAGUGUGGGCUACGGGAAUGCUGCUCCUUGGGGUGCUGCUGCUGGUGGUCCUGGUAGUGGUGGACCUAUUUCAGCGCCUACGGGUCAAUCUCCUGGCGGAGCUGCUGGGUAUGGGAGUCAAGGUUAUGGUUAUGGUGGGUAUGGUGGAAGUGAUGGAUCCUAUGCGAAUCCAGCUGCAUAUGGUGCUGUCGGUGGGCGUGCUGGGAGUACCCCAAAUAGCAGUGCUUCUGCUGGUGGGGGAGAGCUACAAGGGAGUGGUGGGGGCUAUAUGGGAGGUGGCUAUGGUGAUCCCAGUGGGAAUUCAGGGUAUGGAAAUCCAGGAUGGAGAUCUGAUCCUUCAGCAGCUUCUGGGAAUUAUUCAAAUGGGCCUCAUGGUGGGCAAGUUGGAUAUGGUGGUGGGUAUGGUGGUGCUCCGACCAGGCAGGCUCAACAGCAGUGAUUUUGAUGACUUCCCUCCAUCUGGAGCUUAACUUUCUGUUGAUGUUGCGGCCAAUGAUUUUUGCGAUUCUGGUGGGAGAGGGGUGGCUCUUGUAGGAUGUCAUGCAUGCGGUGGGACUGGAGGAGAGAUGCUCGAGUUCUAAAGUGGAGAAGUGUCCACCGUGUCUAAACAUGAGAGCCAUUGUUGGGUGUGUUUAACGUGGAAUGAGAUUUGGACUUGGCUGGGUUGACAUGCAUAAUGCAUUAGCCUGAGAUUGGUCAUGCUGAAGCCAGGCCAUGCUGAUGCUGUCAAACACCGAGAUCACCGCAUUUGAUGUGUGGAAUAUUGCAAGUCUUCAAUCAGGUUUUGGAGGGCUGGUGGAUAUUUUACAGCUGAACAACCUGUGGGGUAUGUCUACCAGAGCAGUUUGACAAAAAAUUUCACUUUAUAGUUUCAAUAUUACCCUAAUAAUUUAGGCAGGAGACUCAGAAUUUUGAGGAUUAGCAAGUGUCUGUUUGAGGUAGUAAAAAAUUGUCACUUUGUUAAAAUUAUUGAGUACAUUCUCGGUAUGAAUGGAAAAAUUGACUUGUGCAUAUUUAUUUUAGUAAUUAGGAUAUGCUACAGGCUUUUGACAACCAUCAGUAGUAGUGUUGCAUGUUUUUUCAUCUUUAGCUCUCUCUUGGUAGUCAAAUGGAAUAUAUGAUAUUUUGUCCAGCUA
This is an RNA transcript of Cornus florida, 2305 nucleotides long. It is a transcript of the gene named heterogeneous nuclear ribonucleoprotein 1, with no coding region annotated. The record is from RefSeq and is a predicted model, not a curated record. Lineage: Eukaryota; Viridiplantae; Streptophyta; Magnoliopsida; Cornales; Cornaceae. The transcript is spliced from 3 exons.